UGGUGGGCCAGCUUAGUACGAGAGGAAUUGCUCAUUCAGAUAAUUGGUUUUUGCGGCUGUCCGACCGGGCAGUGCCGCGAAGCUACCAUCUGCUGGAUAAUGGCUGAACGCCUCUAAGUCAGAAUCCAUGCCAGAACGCGGUGAUACCACCCGCACGUAUAGAUGGACAAGAAUAGGCUCCGGCUUAGCGUCUUAGCAGGCGAUUCUUCCACGGCGCUCGAAGCGCGUCGUGGUAUUUCGCGUAUUGUAAUUUCAACACGAGCGGGGUCAAAUCCUUUGCAGACGACUUAUCUGUGCGAAACGGUCCUGUAAGCAGUAGAGUAUCCUUGUUGUUACGAUCUGCUGAGGGUAAGCCGUCCUUCGCCUAUAUUUCCC
RNAcentral lists this ribosomal RNA (375 nucleotides) under Neonectria galligena. RNAcentral describes it as "eukaryotic LSU rRNA". It matches the Rfam family "Eukaryotic large subunit ribosomal RNA", at positions 3017 to 3401 of the family's 3401-position model. Lineage: Eukaryota; Fungi; Ascomycota; Sordariomycetes; Hypocreales; Nectriaceae. The record is from RNAcentral.